UGCUUAAAUGUCCGGUAUUUUUCCGUUUUUGCUAAUUGUGCUUAAGUUGACCGGAAAUUCUAAUUUUAAUUAAUUUGAAUUAUCUGAGAUAAUUAUUUGCAUUAUUAAUUACAAGGAAAAUUUUGGAAAUACAAAUUAGGACAUUUAGAGGUUAAAUGAGCUUAAAUGAGAGAGGAGGUGUGAAUUUCAAUUUUUGGGGGUGCAUGAAGAGGGUGUAACAUUUGGCUGGUUGAUUUAUUUUGGGAGAAAUAUACUUACGGUUAAGAGAAAAAAAAUGCUGACUUCAAUUAGAAAUGGAAAAGUGAUGCACGACCUGUUUUGUUUUUAAGAAAAAAUAUGUUGCUGGAUUCAUUAUUUGAAAAGGGCACGCUGAUUCAAUUUAAAGAAAAAAAGCAGAUGGCCCAUGGAAUGAGAAAAAAAGGGCAGUGGUCAUUGAAGGAAGUUGUGGCAGCUUCCAGCCACACG
RNAcentral lists this long non-coding RNA (465 nucleotides) under Vigna radiata. RNAcentral describes it as "long non-coding RNA (VRAD_LNC010101)". Lineage: Eukaryota; Viridiplantae; Streptophyta; Magnoliopsida; Fabales; Fabaceae. The record is from RNAcentral.